RNAcentral lists this long non-coding RNA (1939 nucleotides) under Monodelphis domestica (gray short-tailed opossum). RNAcentral's name for it is "lncRNA (ENSMODG00000028772.2)". Lineage: Eukaryota; Metazoa; Chordata; Mammalia; Didelphimorphia; Didelphidae. The record is from RNAcentral.
AGAGAAAGAGAGCUUGGAUUCCUGCUGAUUCCUCUGAGAGAUCCAGGUAUGAAAGCCCUUCUGAUUUGGGGGCUCUUGCUCUUUGGUCAACUGUUCACACAGACUUUGGCCCAGACAGAGUCUUCCCAAUCACAAGAAUCAAUAGUAAGCCAAUUCGUACAAAACUUAUCAGAAGGAUUUGAAAAAAUAUUGAAAAAUGUCCUUGAUGUCAUUAGCAAUGCGCUAUCACAAAUUAAAAACAUGGCUGACUCAAGGGAAAGUGAUCAAACAGAAACUUCAACUGCAGCUACAACAGCAGCCCCAGUAGACACAACAGCAGCUCCAACAGAGGCAACGACAGCAGCCCCAACAGCAGCUACAACAGCGGCUCCAACAGAGGCAACGACUGCAGCCCCAGUAGACACAACAGCGGCUCCAACAGAGGCAACGACUGCAGCCCCAACAGAAGCUACAACAGCGGCUCCAACAGAGGCAACGACAGCAGCCCCAACAGAAGCUACAACAGCGGCUCCAACAGAGGCAACGACAGCAGCCCCAACAGCAGCUACAACAGCGGCUCCAACAGAGGCAACGACUGCAGCCACAACAGCAGCUACAACAGCGGCUCCAACAGAGGCAACGACAGCAGCCCCAACAGCAGCUACAACAGCGGCUCCAACAGAGGCAACGACUGCAGCCACAACAGCAGCUACAACAGCGGCUCCAACAGAGGCAACGACUGCAGCCACAACAGCAGCUACUACAGCGGCUCCAAUAAGUGCAACGACUGCAGCCCCAACAGCAGCUACAACAGCGGCUCCAACAGAGGCAACGACUGCAGCCACAACAGCAGCUACAACAGCGGCUCCAACAGAGGCAACGACUGCAGCCACAACAGCAGCUACAACAGCGGCUCCAACAGAGGCAACGACUGCAGCCACAACAGCAGCUACAACAGCGGCUCCAACAGAGGGAACGACUGCAGCCCCAACAGCAGCUACAACAGCGGCUCCAACAGAGGCAACGACUGCAGCCACAACAGCAGCUACUACAGCGGCUCCAAUAAGUGCAACGACUGCAGCCCCAACAGCAGCUACAACAGCGGCUCCAAUAAGUGCAACGACUGCAGCCCCAACAGCAGCUACAACAGCGGCUCCAAUAAGUGCAACGACUGCAGCCCCAACAGCAGCCCCGACGUUAUCUCCCUAUUCAAAACCACUCAUAGAUUUUGCUAUUAAUAUAUACAAAGUCCUAAAGAAAGUGAAUACUCCACAUAAUAUCCAAAUGAUUUUCAAACAAAUCUUGAUGAACCCACCAAAGCUACUUAGAUACUCACUAAACUCUCUGAGGAAAGUGGUGCAUCCUGCUUGGAUAAAUAAUUCCCAACUCGAUGUCCUUGAAGUUACCUUUCAUCAAGGUGUGAUUAAACGUCGGGGAUUUAUGUCUAUGACCACAGUUUUACUAAUGAACUUUAAAACACCCCUUGCUGGAACAUUUACUGUUGCUGCACACCUCAACUCCAAAUUUGAAAUCAGAUCUGCAAUGGGAAAGAAUAGAAAGCCUUGCCUUCACAUUAAACAUUAUCACACUAACCUCAAAACUUUGAAUGUUAACUUCCAGAAAUUACCACACAACAAAAAGGCUCAUGUCCAAAUAAUAAGUACCUUGAAAAAGAAUAUUCGUCCUGUGAUGAAUGAAGUACUCUACCGUCUGAUGACCACUGUCUUACCCUCUGUGGAUCCUACUUUGUCAAACUACAUAAGCUGGUACCUAUACAAGGGUCUUAAGAUUCCUGUGUAAAUCUUCAAUGAAGGAAUGACAAGUUUUCCCCUUCAAAACAGGUAUCUUCCAGGCUUUCUUUUCCUGGAUAUGAGCCUACUUCCCAUUAUGAAAAAUUUCUCUGGAAACUGUGUUUCUUCCUCCUGAUUUCUCUUACAAUAAACUCCCUACUAUCUCAGCA